UCAUGGUCUAUACAGCAUCAUGGCUUAUCCCCCAUACUCUCUGGCAUUUGAAACACGUACUUCCACCCACACCAUGAAACGGGAACUUGACAUGACCAACGGAAUUUUAAAAUGCCAAAAAGCUAGCAACAAUAUUACUGGCUGCUAAACACGUCCAAGUCCCCUUACCUAGCAUUUAGACAUCAUCUGAUGACUUAGGUAAUCAUGUAUUUAAUCUUUUGUUUUUAUAUAAACUCUG
This 238-nucleotide long non-coding RNA is filed under the name Elaeis guineensis (African oil palm). RNAcentral's name for it is "long non-coding RNA (EGUI_LNC006457)". The record is from RNAcentral. Lineage: Eukaryota; Viridiplantae; Streptophyta; Magnoliopsida; Arecales; Arecaceae.